GUGCUCGCUUCGGCAGCACAUAUACUAAAAAUUGGAACGAUACAGAGAAGUUUAGCACGGCACCUGCGCAAGGAUGACACGCAAAUUCGUGAAGCAUUCCAUAUUUUU
This 108-nucleotide small nuclear RNA is filed under the name Macaca nemestrina (pig-tailed macaque). The record is from RNAcentral. Lineage: Eukaryota; Metazoa; Chordata; Mammalia; Primates; Cercopithecidae.